RNAcentral lists this ribosomal RNA (501 nucleotides) under uncultured bacterium. RNAcentral's name for it is "bacterial SSU rRNA". It matches the Rfam family "Bacterial small subunit ribosomal RNA", at positions 8 to 507 of the family's 1533-position model. The record is from RNAcentral.
AGAGUUUGAUCCUGGCUCAGAUUGAACGCUGGCGGAAUGCUUUACACAUGCAAGUCGAACGGCAGCACGGGGCAACCUGGUGGCGAGUGGCGAACGGGUGAGUAAUACAUCGGAACGUGCCCAAUCGUGGGGGAUAACGUAGCGAAAGUUACGCUAAUACUGCAUACGAUCUACGGAUGAAAGCGGGGAUCGCAAGACCUCGCGCGAAUGGAGCGGCCGAUGUCAGAUUAGGUAGUUGGUGGGGUAAAGGCUCACCAAGCCAACGAUCUGUAGCUGGUCUGAGAGGACGACCAGCCACACUGGAACUGAGACACGGCCCAGACUCCUACGGGAGGCAGCAGUGGGGAAUUUUGGACAAUGGGCGCAAGCCUGAUCCAGCCAUUCCGCGUGCAGGAUGAAGGCCUUCGGGUUGUAAACUGCUUUUGUACGGAACGAAACGGUCCGCCCUAAUACGGUGGGCUAAUGACGGUACCGUAAGAAUAAGCACCGGCUACCUACGUG